CUGUGCAUUGUUGGGAUUCCUGGCGAGUUCGAGAAUUGGUUUUGGGAAACCGAUUCUGCGGGUGGUUUCGAGUUUGUAAGUGAUGUCUUUUGAGUCAGUAGGUUUGGUUUCGGACUCGGUGGACCUAUCAUAGGUCCGGUCGACGGUCCUACACACUGCGGGAGCUAGGUGUAGUUGCAACACAGGUGAGUACUUCGAUCCGAGGUCGGUUCAAUAGUGUAUUGUAGUACACUGAACUUUAGCAAAUUGCGAAGUUCAAGUGUUAGAAUAGUAAUUGGAACUAUUCUACAUCUUUUGAGAGGUUGUCGAGAGGUUUUCGGCAAGUUACUUGAGUGAUCAAAUGGCCGGAAGAGCAAAAGUGCAUUGAAGCGGCGAAAUUCUGUAUUUUGUACUGAGUA
Molecule: long non-coding RNA, 398 nt
Filed under: Ananas comosus (pineapple)
Lineage: Eukaryota; Viridiplantae; Streptophyta; Magnoliopsida; Poales; Bromeliaceae
Description: long non-coding RNA (ACOM_LNC031562)
Source: RNAcentral